UACAGAGGGGGCAAGCGUUGUUCGGAAUUACUGGGCGUAAAGGGCGCGUAGGCGGCCUGCUAAGUCGAACGUGAAAUCCCCGGGCUCAACCCGGGAACUGCGUCCGAAACUGGCAGGCUUGAAUCCGGGAGAGGGAUGUGGAAUUCCAGGUGUAGCGGUGAAAUGCGUAGAUAUCUGGAGGAACACCGGUGGCGAAGGCGGCAUUCUGGACUGUAACUGACACUGAUGAACGAAAGCCAGGGGAGCAAACGGG
RNAcentral lists this ribosomal RNA (253 nucleotides) under uncultured bacterium. Its description in RNAcentral is "partial 16S ribosomal RNA". It matches the Rfam family "Bacterial small subunit ribosomal RNA", at positions 524 to 776 of the family's 1533-position model. The record is from RNAcentral.